GCGCCGCGCCGGCCGCCUCCCGCGCCCGCUCGCCGCCGCCUCCAUCGUCCACCUUCCGUGCACAGAGGGACAGAGAGAGCGCGGGCAGUGGGUAGGAAAUUACUCCCAGUAGCCUUGAUCAGAAGACAUUUGGACUUGAGGUGGGACAGAAAGAGGUAGAGCACCAAAAUUCUGCAGAGGUAAACUGCCAUCUCACUUUACAUGUGGCCUUAUGCACACUCUCAUCUGUACCUUCAAAAGCACCAUUCAUAUCCUGUUAGGAUGUUAUAAUCAAUCCAUGGUGCACAUUACCCAUCACAAUGAAAUUUAGCUAGCUCUGCAUCUGUCAGCCACUAUAUUUCACAUUUAUUACAGCUUUUAAUUAAUCAUCUCUUGAUAGCUAAACACAGCACUAUCAACCUCGAUGUCAGUUCCCAGCAGGAGUUUCAAGUAAACAGCAAGGUUCUCUGGACUCAGUGGAUCUUCCAACCAAUAUUAUAGCCAAUUUUCCACUCCUCUCAUCCAUCUUUCUAAUACUGAGGUAAGCCAUUUAUCUCCUGGGUAAUAUAUUUUAACAGCAGACAAGUGCUACCUUUAUUUUCAGCAUGAAAGGAGCCCUGGGGUGGUAUAAAUAUUUAUAUGCUUAUAGGAAUGAAACAGCUGGAAGUCAUUGCUUAGCGGGCCUCAACUUGUGAGUUACACUUUGCAUGAGUAGGACUAUGACCCCUGAAUUAGCACAGAGGAAGAAGAAAGCAGAAAGCAGAAGGAACCCAUGGCAUUGUUGAAAACAGCCACAGAGGGCUGCCUUCCUUAUGGAAGCCAUUAGGUUUCUAGGUUAUUUGCAAUUGGCAGGGAAAUAUACAAUCUGUGGCCAAAGCAACUGAUAACUUCGGUAUCAGGGAUAUUUCUGAGUUCCUUUCAUUCCUGAGUUUGGCCUUUUAAUUAAUUUAAAAAGGAUCCAACAUCCAGAAUGCACUGCCUCCUCUCUUCCUGUGAGAAAUCUCUACUACUAGAAAUAGAUUUAAAAGCUGAUCUGCUUUCCACCAGCUUUCUAACAGAAAAAAACAUUAUGCUCUGCAACAGACAGUAUAUUCAGAAGCCUGCUUCACUGAAAAGAAAAUCCAUGCUCACAUAAUUACUCCAGGACAGGAGUGCAAAGAUUAAUUUAUGUAUCUGUGUUAGCCAUUACCAAAGUGCCUGUUAUGCUGGAACAUCCCUAACCAGCAAUGCAAACUAUGCAUUUCCUAAUGACAGAACUUUUGUUCAACAUCUCUUCACCUGCUUUUUUAAAAAAGGAAUCAGACCCAGAGCUGCCCCAACCAAUACCAGAGCCAGACAGAUUCACACAGUGCCAGUUUCAGUGGGUAAAAAAGUAAUACAGGAACUAAGAGUUAACCUAUAAGGCACCCAUAAACUUUAAUGAAGCAUGGAAAAUCCAGUGCACAGACAGAUUUUCCUGCUGCCAAACAAUUAAGCAAAGGCAAAGAGAAUCUUCUUUGGGCAACAUGCAACAAAGCAAACUUUACAUAGACUAUCUGCUUCAAAAUCACAUUAAAGGACAAAGAAAUUGCCUCUUCUAGAAGUUAUGGAGGGCAGGAACAUUUUGUUUUCCUAACAUAAUUUGGUAAAACUGUCUCAACACAAUCAGAUAAUGUCAAUCACUUCUGCCUCUAUGUCUUUUGAUGCUGGUGCCAGGUCAUGCCCUUGAGAGGUACGGGAAAAGAUGUACGAAGAGGAUUCCCAGCGCUGUUUGUGUUCUGAAGAGGAGACCGCUCCCCUCAAGGAAUUUAAGGAGCUUCCCUGUGCACACAGAAACAUAUCCAAGCAGUGUGAAACACAAGAGCAGACUCAGGAAGUGGGGUCAGAAGAACAAGUGUAGAGAAGCUUUGACUGCCCAUGCAGGGAAAGUUCUUGAAUUGGUGACAGAGCCUGACAAAAGCCACAAAAUAACAAGAUCCUCAUUUCCAAAGACUGACUGUUUUGCUGGGCAGGUGUCUUUUUGCUUGGAUAUUAUAAUGUCUCUUGUAUAUGCUAUCCAUGCAAAAGAAGAACAUGAAAAAGACAGAAAAUAAAAAAACUGAGAAACAUUGACUGUAAUCUUUGUAUUAUCUAAUGUAGUUCCUUUGAAUAAAACACUUUUUUUUU
Non-coding RNA from Taeniopygia guttata (zebra finch), 2124 nucleotides. Lineage: Eukaryota; Metazoa; Chordata; Aves; Passeriformes; Estrildidae. The record is from RefSeq and is a predicted model, not a curated record.